AGAAUUCACAAUCUCAUGGUUUCUAGCCUGAUACCUUAACCCAGGGGUAGGUCUCUUUUAAUCAUAACAGAACAAUGUCUCUCAUCCUGAUCUCUGUUCAACACAUACAAGUAGCUGCACAAUAGAUUGCUUGGAACAUUCCAGGGCAAAGGUGGUUUUUUUUAACAAACCCUAAGUCUAAUCUAUUUCCAGGAGGAUUUUAAAUCUCAAUUACAUUAAGGGUCAGAUAGUCAAGUGAUGCAGAUGGGAUAUUUCCAGGUGGCUGCUAUCUCAAAUGAUGUGUUUAAAACUAGAACAAGGAGUAUUCUACCACAACAGUUUAUGCAACUGCUACCAUUCCACUCUUUCAAAUAUUCACCAUGAAGGGAGAGUCAAUAACCAUAUGGAAUAUACAAAGAUGCGCCAACUGAAUAUUUGAUCUGCAUAACAGUAUCCCUACAAUAAAUGCUAAUUUCAAAGUAUAUUUAAAAUGCAAUGUGAAGGCACACACUAUAACUGUUCUUUUUUAACCGUUCGGUGGCACAAACACACAAAACUGAAAUAAUUGAUUUGUGUGUUUCAAGUGACCUUGGUAAUAACAUCAGUUCAAUAUCUGGAAAGAUGGCCAUUUAAAUAAGUGUUUCAAAUCAUAGAGAAAGCAAGAAAUGUUCGCCAUUUUGUUUAAUUAAUGUGACAGAUGUU
Molecule: long non-coding RNA, 681 nt
Organism: Protobothrops mucrosquamatus (brown spotted pit viper)
Lineage: Eukaryota; Metazoa; Chordata; Lepidosauria; Squamata; Viperidae
Exons: 2
Source: RefSeq, a predicted model, not a curated record